RNAcentral lists this ribosomal RNA (467 nucleotides) under uncultured bacterium. RNAcentral describes it as "partial 16S ribosomal RNA". It matches the Rfam family "Bacterial small subunit ribosomal RNA", at positions 28 to 507 of the family's 1533-position model. The record is from RNAcentral.
GACGAACGCUGGCGGCGUGCUUAACACAUGCAAGUCGAACGGAAAGGCUCCAGCUUGCUGGAGUACUCGAGUGGCGAACGGGUGAGUAACACGUGGGUAAUCUGCCCUGCACUCUGGGAUAAGCCUGGGAAACUGGGUCUAAUACUGGAUAUGACCUUUCUCCUUAUGGGGUUUGGUGGAAAGUUUUUCGGUGUAGGAUGAGCCCGCGGCCUAUCAGCUUGUUGGUGGGGUGAUGGCCUACCAAGGCGACGACGGGUAGCCGGCCUGAGAGGGUGAUCGGCCACAUUGGGACUGAGAUACGGCCCAGACUCCUACGGGAGGCAGCAGUGGGCAAUAUUGCACAAUGGGCGGAAGCCUGAUGCAGCGACGCCGCGUGAGGGAUGACGGCCUUCGGGUUGUAAACCUCUUUCAGCAGGGACGAAGCGUAAGUGACGGUACCUGCAGAAGAAGCACCGGCUAACUACGUG